RNAcentral lists this ribosomal RNA (803 nucleotides) under uncultured soil archaeon. RNAcentral describes it as "bacterial SSU rRNA". It matches the Rfam family "Archaeal small subunit ribosomal RNA", at positions 77 to 865 of the family's 1478-position model. The record is from RNAcentral.
CGCAGUUAACGGCUCAGUAACACGUAGUCAACCUGCCCUGAAGACGUGGAAAAGCCCGGGAAACUGGGACUAAUCCGCGAUAGAUGACCUCAUCUGGAAGGAGAGGUCGUCCAAAGGGGGGCACGGGUAUGCUCUGUGCCUUCGCUUCAGGAUGGGACUGCGGCCGAUCAGGCUGUUGGCGGGGUAAUGGCCCACCAAACCUGUAACCGGUACGGGCUUUGAGAGAAGGAGCCCGGAGAUGGACACUGAGACAAGGGUCCAGGCCCUACGGGGCGCAUCAGGCGCGAAAACUUCGCAAUGCGCGAAAGCGUGACGAGGCUAGUCCGAGUGCUCUCCGCUAAGGAGGGCUUUUCUCGGCUGUAAAUAGGCCGGGGAAUAAGGGGAGGGCAAGUCUGGUGUCAGCCGCCGCGGUAAUACCAGCUCCUCGAGUGGUCGGGACGAUUAUUGGGCCUAAAGCACCCGUAGCCGGUUCCGUAAGUCCUCUGUUAAAUCCAGUCGCUCAACGGCUGGUCUGCAGGGGAUACUGCGGGACUAGGAGGCGGGAGAGGCGGACGGUACUCCGCGUGUAGGGGUAAAUCCUUUGAUCCGCGGAAGACCACCAGUGGCGAAGGCGGUCCGCCAGAACGCGCUCGACGGUGAGGGGUGAAAGCUGGGGGAGCGAACCGGAUUAGAUACCCGGGUAGUCCCAGCCGUAAACGAUGCGAGCUAGAUGAUUCGGUGGCAGUUCGCCAUCGAAGUGUCGCAGGGAAGCCGUUAAGCUCGCCGCCUGGGGAGUACGGUCGCAAGGCUGAACUUAAAGGCCA